UACGUAGGGUGCGAGCGUUGUCCGGAAUUACUGGGCGUAAAGAGCUCGUAGGUGGUUUGUCGCGUUGUUCGUGAAAACUCACAACUCAAUUGUGGGCGUGCGGGCGAUACGGGCAGACUGGAGUACUGCAGGGGAGACUGGAAUUCCUGGUGUAGCGGUGGAAUGCGCAGAUAUCAGGAGGAACACCGGUGGCGAAGGCGGGUCUCUGGGCAGUAACUGACGCUGAGGAGCGAAAGCGUGGGGAGCGAUCCGG
Molecule: ribosomal RNA, 253 nt
Filed under: uncultured bacterium
Lineage: Bacteria
Description: partial 16S ribosomal RNA
Rfam family: Bacterial small subunit ribosomal RNA
Source: RNAcentral